RNAcentral lists this ribosomal RNA (803 nucleotides) under Darkera picea. Its description in RNAcentral is "eukaryotic LSU rRNA". It matches the Rfam family "Eukaryotic large subunit ribosomal RNA", at positions 89 to 909 of the family's 3401-position model. Lineage: Eukaryota; Fungi; Ascomycota; Leotiomycetes; Phacidiales; Phacidiaceae. The record is from RNAcentral.
GCGAGUGAAGCGGCAACAGCUCAAAUUUGAAAUCUGGCCCCCUCGGGGCCCGAGUUGUAAUUUGUAGAGGAUGUUUCGGGUGUGGCUCCGGUCUAAGUUCCUUGGAACAGGACGUCAUAGAGGGUGAGAAUCCCGUAUGUGACUGGCAGCCUACGCCCAUGUGAAACUCCUUCGACGAGUCGAGUUGUUUGGGAAUGCAGCUCAAAAUGGGUGGUAAAUUUCAUCUAAAGCUAAAUAUUGGCCAGAGACCGAUAGCGCACAAGUAGAGUGAUCGAAAGAUGAAAAGCACUUUGGAAAGAGAGUUAAACAGUACGUGAAAUUGUUGAAAGGGAAGCGCUUGCAACCAGACUUGCGUGCGGCCGAUCAUCCGGUGUUCUCACCGGUGCACUCGGUCGUGCUCAGGCCAGCAUCGGUUUCGGCGGCUGGAUAAAGGCCAUGGGAAUGUAGCUCCUCUCGGGGAGUGUUAUAGCCCGUGGUGCAAUGCAGCCCGCUGGGACCGAGGACCGCGCUUCGGCUAGGAUGCUGGCGUAAUGGUUGUAAGCGACCCGUCUUGAAACACGGACCAAGGAGUCUAACAUCUAUGCGAGUGUUUGGGUGUCAAACCCAUACGCGGAAUGAAAGUGAACGGAGGUGAGAACCCUUAAGGGUGCAUCAUCGACCGAUCCUGAUGUCUUCGGAUGGAUUUGAGUAAGAGCAUAGCUGUUGGGACCCGAAAGAUGGUGAACUAUGCCUGAAUAGGGUGAAGCCAGAGGAAACUCUGGUGGAGGCUCGCAGCGGUUCUGACGUGCAAAUCGAUCGUCAAA